RNAcentral lists this transfer RNA (73 nucleotides) under Heterocephalus glaber (naked mole-rat). It matches the Rfam family "tRNA". From Rfam's summary of the family: Transfer RNA (tRNA) molecules are approximately 80 nucleotides in length. Their secondary structure includes four short double-helical elements and three loops (D, anti-codon, and T loops). Further hydrogen bonds mediate the characteristic L-shaped molecular structure. tRNAs have two regions of fundamental functional importance: the anti-codon, which is responsible for specific mRNA codon recognition, and the 3' end, to which the tRNAs corresponding amino acid is attached (by aminoacyl-tRNA synthetases). tRNAs cope with the degeneracy of the genetic code in two manners: having more than one tRNA (with a specific anti-codon) for a particular amino acid; and 'wobble' base-pairing, i.e. permitting non-standard base-pairing at the 3rd anti-codon position. Lineage: Eukaryota; Metazoa; Chordata; Mammalia; Rodentia; Bathyergidae. The record is from Rfam by way of RNAcentral.
GGGGAUUUAGCUUAGUGGUUCCACCGCCUGUCUUGCAAGCAGAAGGACCAGAGUUCAAUUCUCGGUACCCCCC